GUACUUACUUCGGCAGUAUAUAUACUAAAAUUGAAACAAAGAAGAUUAGCAUAGCCUCUACGUAAAGAUAACACGCAAAAUGUGUUGUAACACGUUCUAUAUUUUU
This is a non-coding RNA of Solenopsis invicta (red fire ant), 106 nucleotides long. The record is from Rfam. Lineage: Eukaryota; Metazoa; Arthropoda; Insecta; Hymenoptera; Formicidae.